This 481-nucleotide ribosomal RNA is filed under the name uncultured Alteromonadaceae bacterium. RNAcentral describes it as "bacterial SSU rRNA". It matches the Rfam family "Bacterial small subunit ribosomal RNA", at positions 30 to 505 of the family's 1533-position model. Lineage: Bacteria; Pseudomonadati; Pseudomonadota; Gammaproteobacteria; Alteromonadales; Alteromonadaceae. The record is from RNAcentral.
AUUGAACGCUGGCGGCAGGCCUUACACAUGCAAGUCGAGCGAGAAAUUUUCUUCGGAAAAGAGUAAAGCGGCGGACGGGUGAGUAACGCGUAGGAAUCUACCUAGUAGUGGGGGACAACAUGUGGAAACGCAUGCUAAUACCGCAUACGCCCUAUGGGGGAAAGCAGGGGAUCUUCGGACCUUGUGCUAUUAGAUGAGCCUGCGUCGGAUUAGUUUGUUGGUAGGGUAAUGGCCUACCAAGACUACGAUCCGUAGCUGGUCUGAGAGGAUGAUCAGCCACACUGGGACUGAGACACGGCCCAGACUCCUACGGGAGGCAGCAGUGGGGAAUAUUGGACAAUGGGCGCAAGCCUGAUCCAGCCAUGCCGCGUGUGUGAAGAAGGCUCUAGGGUUGUAAAGCACUUUCAGUAGGGAGGAAAAGUUAGUAGUUAAUAACUGCUAGCCCUGACGUUACCUACAGAAGAAGCACCGGCAAACUCCG